AGCGAACGCUGGCGGCAGGCCUAACACAUGCAAGUCGAGCGCCCAGCAAUGGGAGCGGCAGACGGGAUAGUAACACGUGGGAACGUACCCUUCAGUUCGGAACAACCCAGGGAAACUUGGGCUAAUACCGAAUACGUCCGUAAGGAGAAAGAUUUAUCGCUGAAGGAUCGGCCCGCGUCUGAUUAGCUAGUUGGUGAGGUAACGGCUCACCAAGGCGACGAUCAGUAGCUGGCUGAGAGGAUGAUCAGCAUCACUGGGACUGAGACACGGCCCAGACUCCUACGGGAGGCAGCAGUGGGGAAUAUUGGACAAUGGGCGCAAGCCUGAUCCAGCCAUGCCGCGUGGAUGAUGAAGGCCCUAGGGUUGUAAAGUCCUUUCGACGGGGAAGAUAAUGACGGUACCCGUAGAAGAAGCCCCGGCUAACUUCGUGCCAGCCGCCGCCGUAA
RNAcentral lists this ribosomal RNA (446 nucleotides) under uncultured bacterium. Its description in RNAcentral is "bacterial SSU rRNA". It matches the Rfam family "Bacterial small subunit ribosomal RNA", at positions 29 to 523 of the family's 1533-position model. The record is from RNAcentral.